CAUGGUCUAACAGGCCACAGGAAUAAGUAAAAAGAAAGAAGAAAUUGUGAAAAGUGAAUUAAUAACAAGUCUGGUUGGUGACUGUAUAUGCUCAGGAAGGAUGUUAAGUAGGUUAUAAGGUAAGGGGAAAAUAAUGGGAGAAUUAUAACUUGAAAAAGCGAAGGGAGAACAACAUAAUAUCUAAUAGGACAACAUUUAGACAAGGACAAUGCCUAUAACAACCCCUGAUGCAAAUUCGUUGAAGUAGUGAUGCCAGAAUAAAGGAUAAAACAAUACUUUUGGAGUCUACAGGAGUACACUGUGGAACAAUCAAAGAGCAAUUAAUUUCUCCAGUGCAUCUUUUUAAUAUGUAUGCACAAUCAGACAAUGGAGCUAGAUUUAUUCAUGCUGAAGAAUCCAGUCUCAAGGUUACUUCUGUUUCCAUGACUUCCACAUCAAUUUGAAUAUUUGGAGAAGAUAUUUUCUAAUAUUACUAAAAGAACCUUGUUAAUUGUUUAAAAGGUGUCAUUUUAUAUUAACAUUAUUAAUAUAACAUAUUAUUAAUAUAACAUUAAUAAAUAUCAAUUUUCAUUAUCAAAAAUGUUUGAGCAAGUAAAAUUUGUAUCACGACAGAAAAAGACUGCUUCAUCAUCAACUUUCAAUCAUCAACUUUGUUUGUUGUGUACAGGAUAUAAAUACAGCAAUAUAUAAGGUCUGGUGAUUGACUUGGUCAGAUUUUCCCUCAGAUAAAAUCCUCUGUGUUGACAAUGUAUUUUGGUUCAUUGUCUUGCCGCAUGAUGAAGUUCCUAAUUAUUCUGGAUGUAUUUCUCUGUAUAUUAGCAAACAGGAUGUUUUGUAGACUUCUGAAUUCAUUCUGCUACCAUUCAUGAGUUUCAAUAAAGACUAGUUCUGUUCCAGAAACAGCCACGCAAGCCCAAGCCAUGACACUACCUCCAGCAUGCUGAAUUUCUGCUUUUGAAGAGGUCUUUGAAGGGUAGAUUGUGAUACCUUUACCCCUUCCCUGUGGAGGUGCCUUAUUUUAGGCCCCUGUUGGCGUGACGGUGCCACCAACAUACAGAAGAUCUUUAAGGGUCAUGUGAUGAAUGUAAGUGAUGAAGCAGAAAGGACUACUUGCAAGUCAGAUGAAACCGUCCCCUAGUUUGCCAUUUGCCAAUAGUGCAAGAUGGACUGAAAUGAUUUGGGAGACUCAGGUGAGGUGGUUUGAUCUUUACCGAUUUGGGCCCUCUAGGCCUGAUCAGCGAGCUUCUUCUUCCAGGAGAGCUGCACGCCCCUCCCAUUCCUCCUCUUUUUAAAUAUGGUGUUCGCAGCACCCGAGGGUGUUGUGUUCACUCUUCCUUGUUCGCAAGGCAGAUAUGAGACUGUAUAGGACAUAACCCAUGGAAGGAAAUGUUAACAUGGGCACUAUCGAACCCAUGUCCAUGUCCAGCUAGAGGGAAUGGUAGCUUUAGCGCAAAUGAAAAGCUACAAAUGAAUGGACUCCUUGAAACAAGAUUAAGUGCUAUUGGAAGACUAGGUUGUGGCUGGGUGCAGUGAUUCUCUGAUGAUCUUCUGAUUACACAUAAUACGGUUUUUAACUUUCUUCAUUUUGCCUUUAUGAUUCCAUUAUGUAAUUAAUAGACAUCAGACGCUGCUGUUCAAUUUUGGUGCCAGGUACAUUAGAGUUGUGGUGAAAGCUUUGAGGAAGUUUUGUCUCAGUUGACCUUCUGGACAACAGAAGGAAGGUACACAUUUGUUAUUAAUGAAUUCUAAUAAUAUCCCUCUCUGGCUUCAGUCCUAAUGUAUUUUGAUGUAAUUUGGGUAGUGCAACACUGGGACCACACCCUAAGCCAAGCCAUUUUUAAAGCCUAUAUUUUAAUAUAACCUGGAGAAAAUAUGCAGUUUGUUUACUUCCAGCUAUGAACUGUGAGAGCUCAAAGUCAAAAGAGCACUUAGGUUAAAAAGAGGGAGUCAAAAGACCUUAGAGGCUUCUAUAUCAUUUCCCUUUGCUCCUUAGUAUGGUGGAAUGGGUCUACACAGAGACUGAAUUGAUGCUUGGUCACCUGGAUAAUGGAGCUACAGUAUGAUGCAAUGGGAUGAGUAGGGUCUGAAAUGAUAGCAACAUGGCACCGUAAAGGCCAACCACUGAGGAACAUAUUAACAUUCAAAUUUUAAUAUUCUGCCAUGGGCCACAUGACAGUUAAAAACAAGUGAGUGUACAAUAUUGAUGAAAGCUUUCAAGGUUUUCCCCAGUAUCCCAGUGCUGUGUUACUGUAAAUAUUUUAUGAUUCUCAUUUCAGAAACCACCCCAAGCACAUUACCACUGAUAUGAAUUGGGAAAAAGAUGAGCGUGACAGGCAGCAGGACAUACUG
Molecule: long non-coding RNA, 2349 nt
Organism: Tachysurus fulvidraco (yellow catfish)
Lineage: Eukaryota; Metazoa; Chordata; Actinopteri; Siluriformes; Bagridae
Exons: 4
Source: RefSeq, a predicted model, not a curated record